UACGAAGGGGGCUAGCGUUGCUCGGAAUGACUGGGCGUAAAGGGCGCGUAGGCGGCUCAUACAGUCAGGCGUGAAAUUCCUGGGCUCAACCUGGGGACUGCGCUUGAGACGUGUGGGCUUGAGUGGGGAAGAGGGUCGUGGAAUUCCCAGUGUAGAGGUGAAAUUCGUAGAUAUUGGGAAGAACACCGGUGGCGAAGGCGGCGACCUGGUCCGAUACUGACGCUGAGGCGCGAAAGCGUGGGGAGCAAACAGG
This 253-nucleotide ribosomal RNA is filed under the name uncultured bacterium. Its description in RNAcentral is "partial 16S ribosomal RNA". It matches the Rfam family "Bacterial small subunit ribosomal RNA", at positions 524 to 776 of the family's 1533-position model. The record is from RNAcentral.